This 486-nucleotide ribosomal RNA is filed under the name uncultured bacterium. RNAcentral's name for it is "partial 16S ribosomal RNA". It matches the Rfam family "Bacterial small subunit ribosomal RNA", at positions 30 to 507 of the family's 1533-position model. The record is from RNAcentral.
AUUGAACGCUGGCGGCAUGCCUUACACAUGCAAGUCGAACGGCGGCACGGGUGCUUGCACCUGGUGGCGAGUGGCGAACGGGUGAGUAAUACAUCGGAACAUGUCCUGUAGUGGGGGAUAGCCCGGCGAAAGCCGGAUUGAUACCGCAUACGAUCUACGGAUGAAAGCGGGGGACCUUCGGGCCUCGCGCUAUAGGGUUGGCCGAUGGCUGAUUAGCUAGUUGGUGGGGUAAAGGCCUACCAAGGCGACGAUCAGUAGCUGGUCUGAGAGGACGACCAGCCACACUGGGACUGAGACACGGCCCAGACUCCUACGGGAGGCAGCAGUGGGGAAUUUUGGACAAUGGGCGAAAGCCUGAUCCAGCAAUGCCGCGUGUGUGAAGAAGGCCUUCGGGUUGUAAAGCACUUUUGUCCGGAAAGAAAUCCUUGGCCCUAAUACGGUCGGGGGAUGACGGUACCGGAAGAAUAAGCACCGGCUAACUACGUG